Molecule: long non-coding RNA, 1415 nt
Filed under: Musa acuminata (dwarf banana)
Lineage: Eukaryota; Viridiplantae; Streptophyta; Magnoliopsida; Zingiberales; Musaceae
Description: long non-coding RNA (MACU_LNC002587)
Source: RNAcentral
GUAUUUAUUAUCAAUUGUGCCUUUUGAGAUCAAGUGUGUGUCUCAAAACUCCCUUCGACUUUUACACCAUAUAAGAAGAGUCUUAUACCAUUAGGAAAUUGAAGGACAACAUGAUUUCCCUUUUGCGUUCGCAAGGGAUCAGGUCAUUGAUCUCCAUCUACGGAAAACACUAUGAAAUUGAUGCUAUUGCACCAUGUUUCUUCUUCUAAAUAGACUCCAUUCAUAAACCACAUAUAGCCUAAGAUGCUCUACCCCUCACUCUUCAUUAGGUUGAGUAGGCUUACUUUUCAAAGGUAUCUCUUCAUAAUGUGUGAUACAUUACACAAGAAGUAUUUGUCAGAAAUCAAGACUUAUAUUUUGUAAACUUGAUCUAUUGGAGCAACUUUACUUUCUUUUUAUUCCAUGUAGUAGAAAAAAAUUUCAUGCUCUAUAGCAUUAUUGCUUUGUGAUGACCAUGGAAAAUAUAUCAUUCGCAUACAAAAUCAUCGCAUGAAUACCAAAUUUUAUGAAUAAUCAAUUCUCUCCCUUCCUGGGCCCUUGCUUGAACUGAACCAUUCUCCAACUUGUAGAGUCUCAAUGCUCUUACUUACAUCAAGCACUAUCAAGUUAGAUUAACGUUAUCGAGUUAUUACUCGAACUCAACUAUCUUAACUUUUGUGUACACACAUGUUCUUCCUAACUCAUUUAUUCUUGUGAUGCCUCUUACGUAAAGGGUUAACCAUUCAUUCGAAUAUCAAUCUUGGAUGUUGGAUUUAGCUGGUGUUGUCUAAGAUGUGUGACACACUUGAGAUAUUCGUCUACAAAAGGUUAGCAUUCUAGUAAUCUUAUACAAUCCCAUAGAGACCUACAAGAAAAAGAAAAGUUAAUGGGAGCCAAACACUAGAUCACACAAGCAAACAUUAUAUAAAAAUGAACUUUGAAUGAUUGAGUAACCUAUGCACAUAAGUGUACAUGUGACACCAGUUGUAAAACCACAUUGACGAAGAGAUUGCCCCUCAAAAUUCUUUUGGUUAAAAUGUCAUGUGACUUGAAGGAUAGGAUAUGAUUCAAAUGGAAAGACCAAACCAAAAAUCAUAACAGAACCAAAACAUUAGGAGCUUGAACCUCAAAAGAAAGUAACCUUUUUCCUAGGAUUGGGCAUCAUUCCUUAUUCUAAGUGGAAGAUUUUGAUUAUCGUUUUCCUUGUAACUAUCUGAGACACUAAGGAUGACCCAUCUAGACAUAUAACCCAUUCAUAGACAUAUAAUUGAAGCUUCAGCCGAAUUAGUAACACCAAAGGAUACCAGGGUGAUAAGACAAUUGAUAUUUUACAUUACAAGAUCAUCAAGCAGAAAUCAACUAAACACCAAAGGAUACCAGGGUGAUAAGACAAUUGAUGUUUUACAUUACAAGAUCAUCAAGCAGAAAUCAACUAU